Pieris napi is the source of this 274-nucleotide long non-coding RNA. RefSeq lists it as uncharacterized. The record is from RefSeq and is a predicted model, not a curated record. The transcript has 2 exons. Lineage: Eukaryota; Metazoa; Arthropoda; Insecta; Lepidoptera; Pieridae.
UACAGUCCCGACGUCGCCCCUAGUGACUUCCACAUGUUUCCUGCCCUGAAAAAACAUCUAGGAGGAAUGAAAUUUGCGAAUGAUGAAGAGGCGGCGGGAUCAUGGUUCGAGGAGGGGAUACAAAAGUUUGUCGUACGAAUGAAGAAACUCAUCGAAGUGAAUGGCGAUUAUAUAGAAAAAUAGCUUAGAUUUCAAGCUUUACAGCAAUGUAUUAAACUUUGUAAAUACAUGUUAUUUAAUGUGAAAAAAAUAAAUGGAGACCUUACUUUAAAUA